AUUGAACGCUGGCGGCAUGCCUUACACAUGCAAGUCGAACGGCAGCGGACCUUCGGGUGCCGGCGAGUGGCGAACGGGUGAGUAAUAUAUCGGAACGUACCUUUCAGUGGGGGAUAACGUAGCGAAAGUUACGCUAAUACCGCAUAUUCUGUGAGCAGGAAAGCAGGGGAUCGCAAGACCUUGCGCUGAUUGAGCGCCGAUAUCAGAUUAGCUAGUUGGUGAGGUAAAGGCUCACCAAGGCGACGAUCUGUAGCGGGUCUGAGAGGAUGAUCCGCCACACUGGAACUGAGACACGGUCCAGACUCCUACGGGAGGCAGCAGUGGGGAAUUUUGGGACAAUGGGCGGCAAGCCUGAUCCAGCCAUGCCGCGUGAGUGAAGAAGGCCUGG
RNAcentral lists this ribosomal RNA (388 nucleotides) under uncultured bacterium. RNAcentral's name for it is "bacterial SSU rRNA". It matches the Rfam family "Bacterial small subunit ribosomal RNA", at positions 30 to 419 of the family's 1533-position model. The record is from RNAcentral.